This 235-nucleotide ribosomal RNA is filed under the name uncultured bacterium. RNAcentral describes it as "partial 16S ribosomal RNA". It matches the Rfam family "Bacterial small subunit ribosomal RNA", at positions 99 to 334 of the family's 1533-position model. The record is from RNAcentral.
CGGACGGGUGAGUAGCGCGUGGGUAACCUUCCUUGUACUGGGGGACAACAGUUAGAAAUGACUGCUAAUACCGCAUAAGCGCACAGUAUCGCAUGAUACAGUGUGAAAAACUCCGGUGGUACAAGAUGGACCCGCGUCUGAUUAGCUAGUUGGUAAGGUAACGGCUUACCAAGGCGACGAUCAGUAGCCGACCUGAGAGGGUGACCGGCCACAUUGGGACUGAGACACGGCCCAA